UCCGAAUUGGUGUAGUGGCUAACAUUUGACGCUCUCAUGGGAUCCUCAGCGUUUCCGGAAGCACCGUCAAGCCCGGGGUUCGAUUCCCCGAUUCGGAG
Xylariaceae sp. FL0016 is the source of this 98-nucleotide non-coding RNA. NCBI's taxonomy places the organism in Eukaryota, Fungi, Ascomycota, Sordariomycetes, Xylariales, Xylariaceae. The record is from the annotation of a GenBank genome assembly.